AGUCUGUUAUGUCCAAACAUGGAAUGAGUCGCAUGUGACUAAGUCAACCAAAUGUGGCAACAACAAUUAGUCGGUGGAAAACAACACAUUCAUUCCUGAGGAUGGUUUUGAGUUUAUCUAUGCUUAUUGCCAACUGGAAGGAUUCCUCUUUUUCACAGAACUUUACCAUUUUCAUGGUAUGUUAGCGGAUUGUCAAUUGGCAUCAUUAGAAUGGUAUGGUCCAUAUCAGCAGUGUUAUGAUGCACUUCUUAAAUACACCGAUCCCUCAGAAAA
Long non-coding RNA from Daphnia magna, 273 nucleotides. RefSeq lists it as uncharacterized. NCBI's taxonomy places the organism in Eukaryota, Metazoa, Arthropoda, Branchiopoda, Diplostraca, Daphniidae. The record is from RefSeq and is a predicted model, not a curated record. The transcript has 3 exons.